GGGCACAUGGUGUAGAUGGUUAUCACGCCUGCUUAGCAUCGAGCGGACGCUGCAGGAGGUCUUGAGUUCAAUUAUCAAUGUCUCCA
Molecule: non-coding RNA, 86 nt
Organism: Mycena alexandri
Lineage: Eukaryota; Fungi; Basidiomycota; Agaricomycetes; Agaricales; Mycenaceae
Source: the annotation of a GenBank genome assembly